RNAcentral lists this ribosomal RNA (474 nucleotides) under uncultured organism. RNAcentral describes it as "partial 16S ribosomal RNA". It matches the Rfam family "Bacterial small subunit ribosomal RNA", at positions 332 to 797 of the family's 1533-position model. The record is from RNAcentral.
UACACUCCUGCGGGAGGCAGCAGUGGGGAAUUUUGGACAAUGGGCGAAAGCCUGAUCCAGCAAUGCCGCGUGUGUGAAGAAGGCCUUCGGGUUGUAAAGCACUUUUGUCCGGAAAGAAAUCCUUGGCUCUAAUACAGUCGAGGGAUGACGGUACCGGAAGAAUAAGCACCGGCUAACUACGUGCCAGCAGCCGCGGUAAUACGUAGGGUGCGAGCGUUAAUCGGAAUUACUGGGCGUAAAGCGUGCGCAGGCGGUUUGCUAAGACCGAUGUGAAAUCCCCGGGCUCAACCUGGGAACUGCAUUGGUGACUGGCAGGCUAGAGUAUGGCAGAGGGGGGUAGAAUUCCACGUGUAGCAGUGAAAUGCGUAGAGAUGUGGAGGAAUACCGAUGGCGAAGGCAGCCCCCUGGGCCAAUACUGACGCUCAUGCACGAAAGCGUGGGGAGCAAACAGGAUUAGAUACCCCUGUAGUCCCA